UACGAAGGGGGCUAGCGUUGUUCGGAAUCACUGGGCGUAAAGCGCGCGUAGGCGGCUUAGCAAGUCAGAGGUGAAAUGCCGGGGCUUAACCCCGGAACUGCCUUUGAAACUGCUCAAGCUAGAGUACUGGAGGGGAAUGGGGAAUUUCUAAUGUAGCGGUGAAAUGCGUAGAUAUUAGAAGGAACACCGGUGGCGAAGGCGCCAUUCUGGACAGUUACUGACGCUGAGGCGCGAAAGCGUGGGGAUCAAACAGG
RNAcentral lists this ribosomal RNA (254 nucleotides) under uncultured bacterium. Its description in RNAcentral is "partial 16S ribosomal RNA". It matches the Rfam family "Bacterial small subunit ribosomal RNA", at positions 524 to 776 of the family's 1533-position model. The record is from RNAcentral.